AAAAAAGCCGGAAUAGNUCAGUUG
RNAcentral lists this transfer RNA (24 nucleotides) under Calliergonella cuspidata. RNAcentral describes it as "partial tRNA-Phe". Lineage: Eukaryota; Viridiplantae; Streptophyta; Bryopsida; Hypnales; Pylaisiaceae. The record is from RNAcentral.